This 482-nucleotide ribosomal RNA is filed under the name uncultured bacterium. RNAcentral describes it as "partial 16S ribosomal RNA". It matches the Rfam family "Bacterial small subunit ribosomal RNA", at positions 30 to 507 of the family's 1533-position model. The record is from RNAcentral.
AUUGAACGCUGACGGCAUGCUUUACACAUGCAAGUCGAACGGUAACAGGCCGCAAGGUGCUGACGAGUGGCGAACGGGUGAGUAAUGCAUCGGAACGUGCCCAGUCGUGGGGGAUAACUACUCGAAAGAGUAGCUAAUACCGCAUACGAUCUAUGGAUGAAAGCGGGGGACCGUAAGGCCUCGCGCGAUUGGAGCGGCCGAUGUCAGAUUAGGUAGUUGGUGGGGUAAAGGCUCACCAAGCCAACGAUCUGUAGCUGGUCUGAGAGGACAACCAGCCACACUGGGACUGAGACACGGCCCAGACUCCUACGGGAGGCAGCAGUGGGGAAUUUUGGACAAUGGGCGCAAGCCUGAUCCAGCAAUGCCGCGUGCAGGAAGAAGGCCUUCGGGUUGUAAACUGCUUUUGUACGGAACGAAACGGCUCUGGUUAAUAUCCGGGGCUAAUGACGGUACCGUAAGAAUAAGCACCGGCUAACUACGUG